This 301-nucleotide ribosomal RNA is filed under the name uncultured bacterium. RNAcentral describes it as "partial 16S ribosomal RNA". It matches the Rfam family "Bacterial small subunit ribosomal RNA", at positions 509 to 808 of the family's 1533-position model. The record is from RNAcentral.
CAGCCGCCACGGGAAUACAGAGGGUGCGAGCGUUAAUCGGAUUUACUGGGCGUAAAGCGUGCGUAGGCGGCUUCUUAAGUCGGAUGUGAAAUCCCUGAGCUUAACUUAGGAAUUGCAUUCGAUACUGGGAAGCUAGAGUAUGGGAGAGGAUGUAGAAUUCAAGGUGUAGCGGUGAAAUGCGUAGAGAUCUGGAGGAAUACCGAUGGCGAAGGCAGCCAUCUGGCCUAAUACUGACGCUGAGGUACGAAAGCAUGGGGAGCAAACAGGAUUAGAGACCCCAGUAGUCCCUGUCUCUUAUACA